CGGACGGGUGAGUAACGCGUGAGAAUCUGGCUUUAGGUCUGGGACAACCACUGGAAACGGUGGCUAAUACCGGAUGUGCCCUUAGGGGUGAAAGGUUAACUGCCUGAAGAUGAGCUCGCGUCUGAUUAGCUAGUAGGUGUGGUAAAGGCGCACCUAGGCGACGAUCAGUAGCUGGUCUGAGAGGACGAUCAGCCACACUGGGACUGAGACACGGCCCAG
RNAcentral lists this ribosomal RNA (219 nucleotides) under uncultured bacterium. RNAcentral describes it as "partial 16S ribosomal RNA". It matches the Rfam family "Bacterial small subunit ribosomal RNA", at positions 99 to 334 of the family's 1533-position model. The record is from RNAcentral.